Molecule: unclassified non-coding RNA, 250 nt
Filed under: Hevea brasiliensis (rubber tree)
Lineage: Eukaryota; Viridiplantae; Streptophyta; Magnoliopsida; Malpighiales; Euphorbiaceae
Source: RNAcentral
UUUUAGUAUCAUAACACCCACACACAAGCCAUUUGUGGUAUGAUGGGAAUUUCAUCAUGGGCCUAUUCGCAAUCUAUUGAGACUGUUGUGCUCUUAGGGAUUUGAGAAAUAUUUCACAGGCUGUUUAUUUGAAACCCCAAAUUGUCCUCAGAAGCAUAAUUUGGUGGGUUCUCCCUAAUACAAGUGUAUCAAUUAUAUCCAACUAUGCGGUUCGAUGAAUUCAGAGAGAAAACUUAAUAAUAAAAACAUG